This is a non-coding RNA of Podarcis lilfordi (Lilford's wall lizard), 11545 nucleotides long. The record is from the annotation of a GenBank genome assembly. Lineage: Eukaryota; Metazoa; Chordata; Lepidosauria; Squamata; Lacertidae.
GUUAUCCCAUCAGUCUCAGACAACAAGGUAGGUGGUCGGGGAAUGUCCAACAGCAACUGGAAGACCAGACAUGCUGAAUGUCUCCUCAUAUUAGUCUUUGGUUUCGCAAUCCAGAUGCAGUUCUCUACUGAUUUGUGUGACAACUUCAUUUUGGAUAAUGAAUUCAUACUGAAAUGGUUUCAUUCUGGCUCCAUCUUGGGAGAUGAAAAUGUGCCACUCCUUUUAGUAAAGGUAAAGGUAAAGGUACCCCUGCCCGUACGGGCCAGUCGUGUCCGACUCUAGGGUUGUGCGCCCAUCUCACUUAAGAGGCCGGGGGCCAGCGCUGUCCGGAGACACUUCCGGGUCAUGUGGCCAGCGUGACAAAGCUGCAUCUGGCGAGCCAGCACCAGCGCAGCACACGGAAACGCCGUUUACCUUCCCGCUAUAAAGCGAUACCUAUUUAUCUACUUGCACUUUGACAUGCUUUCGAACUGCUAGGUGGGCAGGAGCUGGGACCGAAAGACGGGAGCUCACCCCGCCGCAGGGAUUCGAACCGCCGACCAUGCGAUCGGCAAGUCCUAGGCGCUGAGGUUUUACCCACAGCGCCACCCGCGUCCCCGCCACUCCUUUUACUGUCCUUUAAAUUUUGAAUCCCAUUUCAUUACCUUUUAAAUUUGUAUUCUUAUAGAAUUGGCUGACAAAAAAACCCAACUGAAGGCUGAUACCAACGCAGGUUCUCUAGAAAAUCAGUAGCCCUCUGCAGUGGUUAAGGCUAGAUGGCCUGACUUUCCAAUCUCAUUACACAAAAGCUGCUUCUGAAUGGCAAUGAUCUGCGAAUUGCAUCAGCUAAAGCUGCCAUUUCAGCCUGACUUUCUCAAACCAAAACAGAAAGCAGCAGGGGAGGUAAAUCUGACAGGUCGCAUUUGGUGUCACUUGAGUGAAAAGAUUAAUAUUAAUGGUGGAGAAAUAUCAAAUUAGCCAGUCAGGCCUCUUUUUUGUACUGGCUGGUGUGUUGAGGGCCAUUCUUUCUCCUGAGAACAAUGAGGCUCAGGUGGCUGAGAAACCUGUCAUGACUUCAGACAAAACCCGAACAAAAUAACCCAGAAAUUGUUGGCACUUGCAUUUUUAUACAUUUUUGUUGCGCUCCUAGUAUCUCCCCUUUGAAGAGAGAAUCCUAUCUCUGAGUAGCUGGCCAUUCAUCCAGCCAAUUCCAUCUGGAGUGAUCUUUCCUUUUUAAUUGAACAGAUUUCUCACCCAGAUUGGGUCGCCGCUUGACAGACAGCUUUAUGGGGCUGUCUAUAAACUGACUUCAAUACAGUUUUUUAAAUAGAUAUUCAAAUGAAGCCUAUUUCCCAUUCAUUUUUUUAAAACUCCCUUUCUAAAGCUUCUAAGUCACCCCAUGGGGAGCUGGGCUCAAGGACAGUCUCUGCAAUGGAAGAAAAGUAUUGUGCCUUUCUCUUUAGUAUGCAUCUUUGGGGAUAUGUAUAUUAUUUGUUGUGGCAGUGGCUUAUGGAGGGAUUGUCUCCCUCCUGCACCCACUUCACCCCACCCCUCCACUUAUUCCAUUUUGUUUGCUUUUGCCUUUUCUGCUCAUUCUUAAUUUGGUUACACGCAUCCUGCAACCUCUGCAUUUUAAUUGUUUGACUCUCCAAUGGAUCUAUCACUAGUGGUCUCCUCAGUGAUAUUCAGAAGAGGUUUCUUUUAUUGUUCACACACACACACACACACACACACACACACACCAUGAAUGUAGCAUUUCACAGGAUUUGCUAAACUGGAUUAGCCUAUAAACCCAUUGAUCCUACUGCCCAGCCUCCACAACUGUUUCUCUAGGGGAAAUGGAAUAGUUUCCACAAUCACCACACCAGAUGGUUUCUACUCAAGCAGCUCUGUAAAGGUGGUCAGAUGCAUUGGCCAAUGUAAGUGUUGUCAGAUAUGGAGCUAAAGCAUACUUUAAUGCUGAAUCCUACAAGGAGUAAGCCCCACUGGACGCAGGGGUUGGGGCCAUAGCUCAGUAGCAGAGCACCUGCUUUAUGUGCAGAAGUUCCCAGGUUCAAGAAUGGAAAAACAAAUUGUGGCAUUUUUAAUAAAAAGCUGGGGUUGUUUAUACAGUCCCUAUAUAUUUGUCUUAAAUACCAAAUGAUAAAUAAAGGGACUGAAAAUGUGCCAACUUAUUUUUCUGAUUCCAAAAGAAAGAAAACCAAAUUCAACCGUAAAUUAUAAGCCCUGUUAGUACUGCUUAACACCAAUACUUCAUUUCCACUCACGUCUCUCCAACGUGCAUGCCUCAUUGCUCAGCUAUUGAUUUUCAUUUCCCACACGCAACUUAAAUACUCACCAUAAAAACUGGGCAUAGCACUUUAAACAAUUGCUUAUCAACAAUGUAUUGGCAUUCCUUCCUUUUUGUUCAAUAAGAUGCAACUGGAACAAAAUAAGCAGCACAAAAUAUAUGGUAAUCGGCAGAGAAGUUAAUGCCCAAUUCCUUUCUGUUCUUGCCACAGUUGCAUUAGUUGCUAUACAGAUAAUAAAUAGGUAUGGUUGAAUAGAAAAUCCCAUCAUUGAUGACAAGAAUGUUGGCGCUUUUCAGAGAGUGAUGAAAUGAGUGUUGAAUAGUCUGAACAUCAUAUGUUCCUAGAUAGUGGAAACUACUAAGUUGCUUAUGAAGUUCCCUUUGUGCUGUAACUUAUGAUGCGUUAUUGGUUCCUAGGAUGGUUCCUAUUUAUUUUCCUAUAUUUCUGAAUUAUAUAUAUAUAUAUUUGCAGCAAUAUAUUCUACAUUCUCAGAACCCCAAUUGAAAUGGAUCUAGAAAAUUGUUUUCAUCCAAGGGAGCCUGGAUUGUAUAUUCCACACACUGGCCAGAGUUUCAACAGAAGUGCCAGUCAUAAUAGCUGAAAUAUCCCCCAGGGUCAUCUGGAAACCAGUUGAAUCCAUCAGCCUCUGAGAGUGGACCACCUUAAUAGGUCCCCUGCUUCUGCAGAGGGAAACUGCUGAAAGCCUAAAAUUCAACAGGUGAUUUGACCAUGACAAGGGACUGAUGUUAAUAUCCUCCACUUUCAGAUCACAUUUAUUCCUGCCCAGUCAAGAAAACCAGGGUGCCACAUCAGGCCAAUGGCAUCUUAGGACAGCUGUAUGGUUGUCAUGGUGGCCAUGAAGUCCUGAGGUGUCCCAGAGGUAAUAUUACCUCCUGGACAAAAUUAUAUUUAUUUUACUUUAGCACUCAUCAUCCAGAGGAACCAUCUAUUCUCUGAUAAUUUAUACGAUGUUAGACACAAGCUAUAGUGGAUUGCCAUAAGUGCAGCUGGCUGGGCCUGGGAUCCCGCAAACAAAUUGUCAGCAAUGUGCUGGAUAGAAUUGCAUUCUGUGUUCCAUCUGUGCUGUGGGCCAGGUCCAACCCUGCCCUACCUAGUUUCCUUUCCUCACUAUGGAAAAUGUGAAUGUGAGCAGAGUGUGAUGUUGACACUUUUUUGCAUGGGUUUAAAUAUUUCUUUUUUAAACCUCUAGAGUGCUUUGGAUUCCUAGGCCACAAUCCUAAACUAUUAGAUUGUUGGUUACAGUGGGCUUAGGCGUGCCUUGUUCUGCACAGAAUGGGAAUCCAAGUGUUUACCAUUAUGCAAAGGGUCAUGUUGCACAAUUCCAUUAUUAACAUAAUGGAACUAGGGUGGCAUUCUAAGCAUCUGGGGUGCUAUUUGUACAAUUAACACCUAUUAAAUCAAUCCAUGGUGAGCAUCUGUUUGUACAAAUUAUCACAUGGAGGCAGGAAACAAAAUGGACAGCACAGUCUUUGGAAAGGGUGUGUAAAUGUGGUGUGUCCCACAGCUAUAAGAGUGUCUCUUCAGUCCUUUACACUACCUGGAAAGUUCACUGGGGCUCCCCACUCUGUAAUGGGUAAAGGUAUGUGUCUCAUGGAAGUCAAGCAGGGUAUAGUAUCCUAUUGAAAUCAGUGUUUACUUUUCAGUGACCUCGUCGCCUUUUCAGUGACCUCGUCGCCUCGUCGCUGUCUAUCUGUUGCCUAUUGCUUACUAACUUCCUGGAACGGGAAUUUGGGUUUUCUAGCUUAGUAAGCCCACUCUGGGUGUAUUUGAACGCUUCUACAUAUCUUCCAAAACUUCUGUGUGCAUAUUAUUGUUACCAUUAUUUACAUAGGAAUCUGCUUUAUAUUGAGUCAGACUGUUGGUCCAUCUAGCUCAGCACUGACUGGCAACAGCCCUCCAGGGUUUCAGCUAGGCAGGGGUCUCCUUCCUGGUCCUAUCUGGUACUCUGCCCCGAUCACUCCUCUUCCCCAGCUCUGCUCUGCAAUCUGGUCAAGUGCUUUUACCUGGCUGGGAUGUGCCUUUCAAUUGUAAUGCCUCUUGCUUGUCUGGAAAGAGGGUGUGUGUGUAGAAACCUCUGCCUGUUGCAUAACUGGAAUGUGGCCUACUGUGCAAUGAUUAAAAGGCACAGCUCUUGGUCAAAUGCGCUCAUUGAAAAUGUUCCCCAUGCCUGCCUUAGGAGAAGAAAACUUCAUCUGUUAUGCCUGUUUAAUGGCCAAGUGAUGAGACCUUCUACAUAUCAGCUGGGCGGAAUUCCGCAUGGAGUGGAACUGCAAUUUACCUCCCUCUUUCCACACUACUAGUGUACAAGGAGGUUGUGCACCACCUCUGGUGUUGGUGGUGGCAUGCCUCUGAAUGCCAGUUGCUGGCGAUUGCUGCUACACUCAUAACCUGCUUAUGGGCUUCCCAUAGGUGUCUGAUGGUCACUGAGAACAGGAUGUCUGGACUAGGUGGGCCUUUGGUCAGAUUCAGCAGGGCUCUUCUUAUAUUCUUAGUCCUGCCAUCUCCCAGUAGGGCUAGGAAAACCUGGAGAGCUAAAUUAAUAGCCUCGUUUAGCAGAUUCCUGUGUUUCUAUGAAAAUUGCUUAAAUAAACAGAAAGCACAGAUCUGCAAGAAUGUUGUGAAUCACAGAAGAAAGCUAUGUGGCUUGGGCCACUUCCAAGGAUACAGAAUAGAGUUAUGACCACUGUCUUUCCCAAUCGGGUGUCUGGAGGCACACAGCCAACCACAGGUCAGGCAACUGCAGACAUGUCUCUUCCAUUUAAAUGUGUUCCUUCCUGGGACAUACUAUGUACAAAUACCCAGCAGACACACUGGUCACAGCCUUCCCCCUUUCUGGGGGGACGCAGGGGGAUGCAUACCCCUAAACAUUUUGUGAAUCUAAGUUUGGCCUCAUUGCGGGGCGGUAUUUCAAUAUGAGUAGGAUAAUGAGAGUACCCCUAAACAUUUUUUUUCCAGAAAAAAGCACUGCAAAUACUUUUUAAAAUACUGUACUAUGUGAAGUCACACAUUAGUUUGAAGAUUGUGGCUUGAGCAAGUCUUCUAAAGGUCAGCAACUUAUCUGGCUCUGCAAAACUGAUGUAGGAUAGAUAUCCUAACAUUUUAUUUAAAAUGCAGUGUCUCUUCCAGCAAACAUGGAAAUUCUCAGAUAAGACAGGUUAUUUACACUCAGUACUUAACAGCACUCAAAGGGACGCGGGUGGCGCUGUGGGUAAAACCUCAGUGCCUAGGACUUGCUGAUCGUAUGGUCGGCGGUUCGAAUCCCCGCGGCGGGGUGAGCUCCCGUCGUUCGGUCCCUGCUCCUGCCAACCUAGCAGUUCAAAAGCACUCUUAAGUGCAAGUAGAUAAAUAGGGACCGCUUUAUAGCAGGAAGGUAAACGGCGUUUCCGUGUGCUGCGCUGGUGCUGGCUCGCCAGCUGCAGCUUCGUCACGUUGGCCACGUGACCCGGAAGUGUCUUCGGACGGCGCCGGCUCACGGCCUAUAGAGCGAGAUGAGCACGCAACCCCAGAGUUGGACACGACUGGCCCGUACGGGCAGGGGUACCUUUACCUUUACCUUUUACUUAACAGCACUCAGUAAGUAUAUGAUGACUUUCAUAAGUAGAUCUCCUAGAGAUUAGUGUAAGUGCUAAUCCUCCUGAGUAGAUGCCCAUUAACAGGGCAAAUUUUCGCCCACCUGACAGCAGGUUGUGAUAUCAGUGGUCUCUUUUUGUGUGUGCCUUCUUAGGUUUUGUGAAGUGCAAGCAAAGUGGAGACACAGAUGAUUUUCACGGCUCAGUGCUGACUUGCUCCUGCAAACUGCAGCAUGCGGUUUUGCUCUUUUGAUAUGUGUUCUCACAAUUUGUACCAGAAAAACGCCACAGUUUCCUGCCAACAGCAUCACAACAGAACAUGCUUCAGAGGAAGUUAGUAAGGCAAGUAAGGUGCAGCUUUAAUUUCAAGGUAUUUGAUUCAGAUUUUUCUUCUCUCUUUUCUCUGCUUGUUACAACUCUAGCUCUCACGAACGUUGACGAGCACCUUGACUACAGAGUUACAAAGGCUAUGGAUCAAAAGUUAUAUUGGUGACAAAGUGCAAAGCAGCCCCCUCCUGCCCUGCACAGGGUUCAGAAUGUACAGUUGUAUUUUUAGGUGGCCAGCUAUCAUAUUUUACAGAAGGCACUCCUCUGUUCUGGAGGGCUAUCAGAGGACAGUCCUCUGUUUCAAGGGGUCCUCUGCUCAAAGGGCUGUCUGGUCCAAGUCCGGUUUAAUGAUAAAAUACCAGAAGAUAAAGGUUGGGCUUUGGCGUUGCAGCAGACACACUGGUCACAGCCUUUCCCAUUAAAGUGAGACGGAUUGCAUUUCUAUUUUAAUUAUAAUAAUCAUUCCUAAAUUGGCAUCUGUACCCACAAAUCACCACAUGCCAGUUUUCUGCAAACCAGUAUCCUCUUUCAUCCCCUUUCAUUUUAUUUUUUGGGGCCACCCUGCUUGCAUUCGGUUUGUACAUUUUAAAACAUUGGAUAAGCAAACCGAGCCUUUUGUCCCCCAAUGCUAAGGCCUGGUGGUCUGCAUAUGUAUCUGAGUGAAGCGAUGCAGUCCUGAGGUAGUAAACUGAACUUUGUUACUUCAGUCUUCAGGUGGGCAUUACAUUUUCAAUGCCCCCCUACUAUAAAAACUCCCUGAAAACUAGAAUGAUAUAUUAAAAAAAUUACCUUCAACUGGAACAACAGCGAGGGCUAGUAACCUGCCUCUAGUUUUAUUCUUGCAGGGGCCAAUUUACAUUUGGGGACAUUAAAAGCCUUUGUGGUGCCUUAAGGGAGUUCAUUCCACCACCUCAGGAUUCGACUACCUCAUGCUGCUGCACACACAUUAACCAGGCAUUUCCCCCCUCAAAGUGGUGGCGAUAAUUAUUUAUGUCUCCUAAUGAGGCCUUUAUGCACUACUGGAGUACAACCUUCUCCUAACCUUAGUCAUAAAACAGCUCAUUUAGUAUGAAGGAAAUUAUAUUUGUAGCUUUUGCUUAAUGGUAAUGGUUUCCUGACUUUGUAACAGGAAAUAGGGUGGAGGGCGAAAGCAAAGCAGAUCCACCGCCUGACCAGUUCAGAUAACCUGUUCCCCACACAUUGAAUUAUGGUGCUCUGCAGGGAGACGCUCUCAAUAGAAACCCAUUUAGAGGCAGGUCUCUCAACCGUUGCAGUUCGAUCUCAUAAACGCACUUAGGUUGUGACCAUAUUUCAAAAAAGCCCCCAAAGGCUGAGCAACAAUAAAAGAAUGUUGUUGUUGUUUUCAUGAAGGAAGAGGAAAUGCUAUGAGAAAAGUUGAGUUACUGGGCUGCUGUUUCACUGGCAACGUGGAAAGGGGGGGGAGGGGGGCAGGCAAGAGUGAGGAGUGAAGUCUGUUUUCAUUGGCUUUUGAAAAAACACAAGGCCCUGAAGGUUUUACUCAGCUCCACUCUGAAACUUUGAAUGCCUGCAUGUCUUUGUACAUUGCUGCUCCUUCCUUCAUAAGCAAGUGCUGGAUUUGAUGCUAUCUAGAUAUCAUAAAUCCAGGUGAAGAAGCCAAGGUUUGUAAUUUACUGCUAGGAACCUCCACGUGUCCCAGCAAUACCCAUUUCGAGCCUCAUCUUGAUCAGCUUCUCGGUUUUCUGUUUCAUGUUGCAAGACUGCCUUUAUGUGCAUAAGAAGAAGUGCUUGGAGUGGCGUUGGUGCGUUGUAAUGCAUCAGUGAAGCAAAUCUGGUCCCAAAUUUUUGUGACAUCAGGGUGGCUCUUUUUGCAAUGGCUCUGCGAAAAGUUAAGAUCUGAGUCUGAAACCUCUAACAUCGGUUGUAAGGGAGACAUUAGAAUCUGAAUUUUCUGCUCCCAAUACAUAUUGUUUUAUGGUCUGUGAACCAUUGCCUUCCUGAUGUGCAAUGAAGUAAAUGUCAGUCAAGAAGUAAUGUGAUUGCAGACUUCAGUCUCACCCAAUAUAUUUUGAUGCUUUACCUUAGCUAAUGUUAUGUCAUUUGUGUAUUCUAAUUUGUUGAUUUAUAGUUUUGAUCACUUUUAGUUAUUGUUAUUAUUUAUUAAAUUUCUGUACUCCCCUUCAUCCGUGGAUCACAGGGUGGUUUACAUUAAAACCCCAAAAUGCAUAACAUAGUAACAAUCUAAAUAAUACCACCCCCACAGUUUAAAAGACCAUUGAUUGUUUAAUUAGUCAAAGGUCUGGGAGAAGAGGAAUGUUGUUGUCUGGUGUCUAGAGAUAUGUACUGAUAGUUAAUUUUAUGUAAUUUGUCUGUUCUAACUUGUGUACUGUACUCUACUCUGGCAUCUAGUAUGAUGAAGGGCAGGCUAUAAAUGUGCUCCAUAAAUAAUAGAAUGAUAGAGGUACAGAUGCCACAGUUAGUUUGAUUUUGAGAAUAUCAUAUGACAGCACUAAUCCUCACAAAAAGCAAUGAGUCCACAUUGAAAACUGCCAUGGAAUUCAUGCAGACUGGUCCUGCAAUGAAUUUUAUUCCUAAAUACAAAACAAUAGUUUAAAUCAUCCAUAGUUCUGGAUCUGGUGCAAUGCAGGGAUCCAAAGAGAUCCCUAAUAGUUUGUGAGAGGACUCAGAAACACCCUAUAAUAAUCUUGUGGCAGAUGCCUCCCUAAUUGGAACUAAUUUCCAUUUCUGAGAUAACACUGAGAGGGGAAAAUACAGCCCCUGGGUAAUACGCUGAUGCAGUUCAGAAAAUUGUAAGCUCUUCAGUCACUGAACUGGAAAUGCAAGCUUGAUCAAAAGACCAAGAAAAUGAACCGUGCUUCAAGAAGUAGCUUUGAUAGGUCCAGAAAGAGCAUUUUCAAUCAUCACACUUGGCUUUUGGAGACACACUGUUGAAUCCAGAGAAGUCCAAAUGCAUAACGGUGCUUUUCCACCUCUUCUCUCAGAACCACUGCAAGAUAUUUCACUGCCUGAGACAAGGUGCUCCAGCUGCUACCUUUCUAUGGACUGACCUGCUCCUUUUCUUCCUCUUCAUGCUGCUUGCUUCCGAGGCCAACUCACCCAUAUUUUGCUCUGAAGAACAGGGUUCAGAAUUCUAAGGGCCAACCCAACACGUGGGUUCCCAUUCCACACACAGAAGCCAGCUGGCAGCUGGAUGUUACUUUAGUUGCAUUCACACAUCAGUUUAUUCCAUUUCCUGGAGUUUCCCUAAUUAUUAAUUUUCACAUUAUAUUUGAGCUUUUGCACAACUUCAGAGCCACUUCUAAAAAUACAGCAGAAUAUAGUGAAAGUUUAGCUUCAUACAUGACAUGGGUCGAUGACUCACAGCUCUAUUUUAACAUCUGAAUCAGGUGUGACAAUGCAGGUUCCUGACCAGUGUCUGAACACAAUAGUGGGCUGGAUUAGGGCCAGUAAGAUGAGUUUAAAUCCAGGCAAGAUGAAAGCUGUCAUGAGCCCCAAGGAGAGGUCAUGGAGGAGAUGGAUGGAUCCUGAGGAUUCAGAGGAGCUUAGAGAGCUCUGAUGGGAUGGGGGAGGUGCAAUCAGGGCCAUAAUAAGUGCAGGGGUCCAGCAGUUUGGGGCAUAGAGAUAUGGAUCCGGGGGGACGGGCUGAGCAGGAGCAUCCCAUUCCAUGAUAUCAAACACCUCUCCCUCAACACCUCCUGCUAUGGAGCUGCUUCCAGCACCUCUUCCCAUUUAAGUGUGACUCCACUUCCAUCUCCAGAGAUGCUGAGGGAGCUGCAAUGGCUAACAAUAGGCACAGUUCAGGGUUUUGCUUUCAUCAUUUGAAACCCUAAAUAAGUUGGGAGAAAGUUACCUAAGGGCUGCCUUGUGCCUAGCAACUGCGCGCCUCAGAUGGGACAUGCUGCACAGGGGCACUUAGUAUGUACUAGAAACUGGGCUUUUAAUGUUGCAGUUCCAGCCCUCUGGAAGUAGAUACUAACUGAAAUUAGAGAAGUGCCUAGCAUUUUAAUAUUUAGUAAAUGACCAUUGGCAUGGUCUGUGAUAAAUGUCUAUUGGAGACAUUUUUGUUUACGAAACCUUUCCCUGAAAUGCGAGUCAGUCAUUUCAUGGAAUAAUAAUUGCACAAAUGUAAAAAUGGUUUCAUUGCCUUUAGUUUACAGAAUUUGAAACUUUUUGUCAUCUUUUGCAUGCUCCCUACAUGCUCCCCACCACAUACCUUUUUGUGCAAAGCUCCUGAUCACAAGGUGAAGCUCUGUCGAUCAUCCAGUGUAAAAGGCCCUAAAGCUUCUCGCUCUGCUGCCUUUAGUUCUUUUAGCAGCAGCGGAAACAACAGUUCCAGGUCAGGUCAGGUCAGACUUUUAUUGCUUAUACCAAAAACCUCUGCAGAAAUUCAAACAGGCUCAAAGGGACCAAAAACACCACAUUUGAAAAUAUAAAUACUGAAAAUACUGUGUACAAAAAACGCAGUCAGGAUCAAGGACAAACAACUACAAACAACAAAACAAGGGCUAAAAAAGUAUUAAAAUGAAUAAACAAAUUAUCAUCAAAUCAGGCAUCACCAUAACUAUUUAUAGCUGUCUGUGAAACUAUAUUUGCAUGGAUCCUUGCAAAAGCUGGUGAAAAAGAGAUACUCUAUACAAAACAAAACAUCAGUAUCUGACAAUAGAAUCUGAAUGGCCCAGGAGUAAUAUUUUUUGAACUGAUGGAGAAGUCCUAUUUUCCAAAAACGUCUCUACUGCUGUUUCAGAAAUAAUUUUCAGAGUACUGUACCCAUUGCAGUAGCAAUUUAAAAAAGGACUAUUGUUUUCAAUACACACACGUCAAGAAAACAUAUUUGGCAAAACACAUGGCAUUUGCUCUCUACAUUAGCUCUAUAUAUGCUAAUUGAGAAGGCUAUAUACAUUUCCCUUCAUGUAAACUCUGGACAGAAUAGGCAGUCUUCAUUUUUAAGUCCUCUUCUAUAUGAAAUUGAAUAGCAAUAAAAAAUUAAUGACAAAAAGAAGAGUAGGGGGCGGACCUUUGGCUCCCCAGAUGUUGUUGAACUACAACUCCCAUCAGCUCCAGCAAACAUGGCCAAUGGCCAUGGAUGAUGGUACUAUUUCAGCAACCAGGGGCAGACUUUGGUCUUUCAUAUUUCAGCAGUGCCCUGUGCGAGCCCAAAAUUUGGAGCUCCCUGCCUCUGCUCUUCCUUUCUGCUAAAUUCAUUACGUCAUUGUUGCAACACCCUACAGUGCCUCGGUGGCCAGUGUGGCGGAAUUGGCUCCACUGCCCUAAAUCUGCCUCUGCAGCAAUGUCUGGAGGGCCAAAGGUUCCCCAUACCUGCAGUAGGGUAGUAACUAACUAGGCAUGCUUACUUAAAGG